GCUCGCACAGCUUGUUUUUAAGCACAACAUUUAAAUGUUAGAAUGAGCCAUAGAAAGCUCCGCCAGCA
Molecule: transfer RNA, 68 nt
Filed under: Trachinus draco (greater weever)
Lineage: Eukaryota; Metazoa; Chordata; Actinopteri; Perciformes; Trachinidae
Description: tRNA-Leu
Source: RNAcentral